This 482-nucleotide ribosomal RNA is filed under the name uncultured bacterium. RNAcentral describes it as "bacterial SSU rRNA". It matches the Rfam family "Bacterial small subunit ribosomal RNA", at positions 30 to 507 of the family's 1533-position model. The record is from RNAcentral.
AUUGAACGCUGGCGGUAUGCUUUACACAUGCAAGUCGAACGGUAACAGGUCUUCGGAUGCUGACGAGUGGCGAACGGAUGAGUAAUGUAUCGGAACGUGCCUAGUAAUGGGGGAUAACCACUCGAAAGAGUGACUAAUACCGCAUAAUAUCUCAGGAUGAAAGCGGGGGAUCGCAAGACCUCGCGUUAUUAGAGCGGCCGAUAUCAGAUUAGGUAGUUGGUGGGAUAAAAGCCUACCAAGCCAACGAUCUGUAGCUGGUCUGAGAGGACGACCAGCCACACUGGGACUGAGACACGGCCCAGACUCCUACGGGAGGCAGCAGUGGGGAAUUUUGGACAAUGGGCGAAAGCCUGAUCCAGCAAUACCGCGUGCAGGACGAAGGCCUUCGGGUUGUAAACUGCUUUUGUACGGAACGAAACGGUUCAGAUUAAUACUCUGAACUAAUGACGGUACCAUAAGAAUAAGCACCGGCUAACUACGUG